Molecule: long non-coding RNA, 1913 nt
Filed under: Mytilus galloprovincialis (Mediterranean mussel)
Lineage: Eukaryota; Metazoa; Mollusca; Bivalvia; Mytilida; Mytilidae
Source: RNAcentral
ACGUUUAAAAUGUAACAUGUAUAAAAAAGAUUCGUAUUUGAAGUAAAUACUUUUUUACGAUAACUAAUAUUAAGCUACACAGCCAAAAUACUAUCUAGGAUAACUCAAAAAUGGUGACUGUCUCUAGAUUGUUUUUGAAGACUUUUGUUUCUAUAUUGGUGAUGUUGAUUGUUAUUUGUUCUAUUGGAUAUUGCGAGAUCGAAAGGGAGAACGAAAGGGAGAACGAGAAUGAGUACGAAGGGUAUGAACCUUACGAUAAAUGUAAGUCUUUUAUAUAUACAUCAGUCUAAGAAAUUUGUUUAUAUCUUGUUAUAUGUUUAUGUAGUACUAAAUUUUCUACAUUUUUUUUCCAUGUUAAAUAUCACACAAAUUGAAACAUAUAAAACAAAAUUCAAGUUACGAAAUAAAGUAAAAAAGUGACAAUUUCAAUAUCUGAAAAAAAAGAUGAAGAUAAAGGAUCAUUCUGCUUAUAUUUACCAGCAAAUCUAUUUUUAUUUUAUCUUUUUGUUCAUCAAACAGUGCCUUUAUUUCAAUAGCAACAUGUAUUACUUCCAUUACUUUGACUGACAAUAAAUUUAUAACGACCAAAGUCAGUACCUAGAUCAAAGACAGAAAUGAUUAAUCCGACUUGUUAUUGCUUGAUUUAUUUCACUUGACUGGGCGUGGUUUAACCAAAGCAUACACUCAGUUCAUUUGUAUAUCAGUUCGAUGACACUGAUUGGUGAUUACAAAUCAACUAUAACGGCCAUCAUCCUUAUUGCUCACAUCUUUAAAUAGACUGUCCUUAUGCAUAUUGAAACGUGACCUCCGCCCGAUCAGUUGAAAUAACAUUGGUAAUAGUAUCACAUAUCAAAAAAAAUUAUCAUUAACUCAAUCGUUAAACAUACAUGGUUGAUUCCAAAAUUUCUAACGUACAUGUGAUUGGUAACAUUUGACAUACUAUACGCAAUUAAAGCAGUAUUGAAUUUAUAAAUUUACGGCAUAAUGUUCCACUGAGGUAAAUAAGCAAGACCACAUCAUCGAUCUAAACUAUUAGACUAAUAAACAUGUUAGAUAAAUAACUAUUGUUGACAAUUGAGCGUCAAGAGUUUAUAGUUGAGAUAUUUAAAUAAGGGAACAUCUAACAAAAAUAAAAAUAUUGAUUUACACAUCACAAUACCAACUUUUAUCAUCCGCGCGGGAGAAUAACUCAGACUGUUGAACAUUGCGCUGGUUUGGUAGAAAGAGGGCACAAUUAAAUUGACUGAAAAUAUCAAAAUCCUUACUUUAACAUGUUUCAUUUGUGAUAACGUAAUGAAUUAUAAUAAAUUAUGUUAUCAAUAGAAAAAAAUCAUUACUUCUUUUGAGACGACCCCUUUAAAAAAGGUUUAUUGUCUCUCGAGUCUCGUUUGUUGUUUGUCAAAAGUAUUCAUGACUCUAUCACGUCUAUUAUAUUAUUUGAUCGAUCUUUGCUUUAUGUAGGAUUAUGCGGAAGACCUUUCUUUUACAUGUUUUGAUAAUGUUCAAUUACACAUUGUUAUAGAGAUUAAAUGUUCUUCAUUGUCAUUUUCAGAAACAUAUCCUGAAACCACACGUAUGAAAUUUUUGGAAUGAAGAAAGAUGAUCAACUGAAAUCGAUGUUCAUUGGCAAAUCCAUCUAUAAUUUUUAUUUACAAUACCAAAUAACUUUUAUAAAAGACAGAAUAACAUUUAAUAAAGAAAAAAAGUGCAAAUCUGAUUAGGAAUGUCAUGAUAUUAGGUUUAGGAUUUAUUUAGGAUAUUAGAUCAUCCAAAGCGACAACGACUUAUUCAGUAUUUUUACUAUUCAGUUUAAUACUAGAAGAAGAUAUUGGGUGCUAUUAAGCUUGUAUAAAGCGUUGUAAUUAACAGAUUCGGGUUUAAACUACAAUUGUUAAUUAUGCCUUUGUGUCGUC